RNAcentral lists this ribosomal RNA (347 nucleotides) under uncultured bacterium. RNAcentral describes it as "partial 16S ribosomal RNA". It matches the Rfam family "Bacterial small subunit ribosomal RNA", at positions 338 to 682 of the family's 1533-position model. The record is from RNAcentral.
CCUACGGGAGGCUGCAGUGAGGAAUAUUGGUCAAUGGCCGGAAGGCUGAACCAGCCAUGCCGCGUGAAGGUCAGUGCCCUAUGGGCGUUAAACUUCUUUUGUGCGGGAGCAAGAAUGGUCACGUGUGGCCAGACGAGAGGACCGUACGAAGAAGCAGCGGCUAACUCCGGGCCAGCAGCCGCGGGAAUACGGGGGAUGCAAGCGUUUUCCGGCUUUAUUGGGUUUAAAGGGGGCGUAGGCUGUGAGGUAAGUCAGCGGGGCAAGGCCCCCGCUCAACGGGGGGAAGUGCCAUUGAUACUGCCUUGCUGGACUGCGGCUGCCGUGGGCGGCAUGUGUGGUGUAGCGGU